This 425-nucleotide ribosomal RNA is filed under the name uncultured bacterium. RNAcentral describes it as "bacterial SSU rRNA". It matches the Rfam family "Bacterial small subunit ribosomal RNA", at positions 355 to 772 of the family's 1533-position model. The record is from RNAcentral.
UGGGGAAUUUUGGACAAUGGGGGCAACCCUGAUCCAGCAAUGCCGCGUGAGUGAAGAAGGCCUUCGGGUUGUAAAGCCCUUUCGGUGGGGAAGAAAAGCCUCGUUUUAAUACAACGGGGUCUUGACGUAACCCAAGAAAGAAGCACCGGCUAACUCUGUGCCAGCAGCCGCGGUAAUACAGAGGGUGCGAGCGUUAAUCGGAAUUACUGGGCGUAAAGCGCGCGUAGGCGGCUUUGCAAGUCGGGUGUGAAAUCCCCAGGCUUAACCUGGGAACUGCAUUCGAGACUGCAUUGCUAGAGUAUGGGAGAGGGAAGUGGAAUUUCAGGUGUAGCGGUGAAAUGCGUAGAUAUCUGAAGGAACAUCAGUGGCGAAAGCGACUUCCUGGACCAAUACUGACGCUCAUGUGCGAAAGCGUGGGGAGCAAA